RNAcentral lists this ribosomal RNA (119 nucleotides) under Lupinus angustifolius (narrow-leaved blue lupine). The record is from RNAcentral. Lineage: Eukaryota; Viridiplantae; Streptophyta; Magnoliopsida; Fabales; Fabaceae.
AAGUGGGAUCAUAUCAGCACUAAUGCACCGGAUCUCAUCAGAAGUCCGCAGAUAAGCAUGCUUGGGAGAGAGUUGUAUUAGGAUGGGUGACCUCAUGGGAAGUCCUCGUGUUGCACCUC